UGGGGAAUUUUGGACAAUGGGCGAAAGCCUGAUCCAGCAAUGCCGCGUGUGUGAAGAAGGCCUUCGGGUUGUAAAGCACUUUUGUCCGGAAAGAAAUCCUUGGCUCUAAUACAGUCGGGGGAUGACGGUACCGGAAGAAUAAGCACCGGCUAACUACGUGCCAGCGGCCGCGGUAAUACGUAGGGUGCAAGCGUUAAUCGGAAUUACUGGGCGUAAAGCGUGCGCAGGCGGUUUGCUAAGACCGAUGUGAAAUCCCCGGGCUCAACCUGGGAACUGCAUUGGUGACUGGCAGGCUAGAGUAUGGCAGAGGGGGGUAGAAUUCCACGUGUAGCAGUGAAAUGCGUAGAGAUGUGGAGGAAUACCGAUGGCGAAGGCAGCCCCCUGGGCCAAUACUGACGCUCAUGCACGAAAGCGUGGGGAGCAAACAGGAUUAGAUACCCUGGUAGUCCACGCCCUAAACGAUGUCAACUAGUUGUUGGGGAUUCAUUUCCUAGUAACGUAGCUAACGCGUGAAGUUGACCGCCUGGGGAGUACGGUCGCAAGAUUAAAACUUAAAGGAAUUGACGGGGUCAUAGCUGUUUCCU
RNAcentral lists this ribosomal RNA (584 nucleotides) under uncultured bacterium. RNAcentral's name for it is "partial 16S ribosomal RNA". It matches the Rfam family "Bacterial small subunit ribosomal RNA", at positions 355 to 1375 of the family's 1533-position model. The record is from RNAcentral.